UACUAAGCGGAGGAAAAGAAACUAACUAGGAUUCCCUCAGUAGCGGCGAGCGAACAGGGAAAAGCCCAGCACCGAAUCCCGCGAUUGUAACCGGUCGCCGGGAAAUGUGGUGUUAAGAAGGAUCCGUUAUCUCGAGAUUUAGUGAUGCGUCCAAGUCCAUCUUGAACGGGGCCAUUACCCAUAGAGGGUGCCAGGCCCGUAGCGACCAUUACUGAUUUCGAGAGGGUCUCUUCUGAGAGUCGGGUUGCUUGAGAGUGCASCCCUAAGUGGGUGGUAAACUCCAUCUAAGGCUAAAUAUAACCACGAGACCGAUAGCGAACAAGUACCGUGAGGGAAAGUUGAAAAGAACUUUGAAGAGAGAGUUCAAUAGUACGUGAAACCGUUCAGGGGUAAACCUGAGAAACCCGAAAAGUCGAAAAGGAAGAUUCAUUCGCGGCUCGAUUAUUGGUGUGCGAUUUUUAAGUGACAAACAACGUUUCGGCGUCGUUUGCGCUAUUAGUUGCGAUCCGGUGUCGAACGCGUGCACUUCUUCCUUAGUAGGACGUCGCGAUUCGUUGAGUGUCGAUCUAAGGCCCGCGUGGAAGACCCGUAAACGUCGAUUUUAUCGUCUGUUUGCGGAACCGUGGUGUUUCCUGAUCGACUUGCUCGACGAUGUACAGAUGGCGCGGAGCGCGAUUAUAGUUCGCGUUCGACUUGCGGCAAACGAGUUCGGUUGUGUCGGUGUAUCGGACCUUGUGCCGGUCCUGGCCACGAACAGUUGUUAGCUGUAAUGUUCUCGAACAGACUUCGUUGUAACGCCGAUCUGCGACGCUAUUGUUUUGGGUACUUUCAGGACCCGUCUUGAAACACGGACCAAGGAGUCUAGCAUGUGCGCGAGUCAUUGGGACAUUAUUAAACCUAAAGGCGUAAUGAAAGUAAAAGUUCGUCUAGCACGAACUUAGGGAAGAUGGGCAAUCUUUAAUGUUUGCUCCGCAUUCCCGGGGCGUCUCGUUCUCAUUGCGAGAGGAGGCGCACCAAGAGCGUACACGCUGGGACCCGAAAGAUGGUGAACUAUGCCUGGUCAGGAUGAAGUCAGGGGAAACCCUGAUGGAGGUCCGUAGCGAUUCUGACGUGCAAAUCGAUCGUCGGAACUGGGUAUAGGGGCGAAAGACUAAUCGAACCAUCUAGUAGCUGGUUCCCUCCGAAGUUUCCCUCAGGAUAGCUGGCGCUCGUAGCUAACGAGUUUCAUCCGGUAAAGCGAAUGAUUAGAGGCAUUGGGGUCGAAAUGACCUCAACCUAUUCUCAAACUUUAAAUGGGUGAGAUCUCCGGCUUGCUUGAAUAUGAAGCCGCGAGAAUUGAACGAAUCAGAGUGCCAAGUGGGCCAUUUUUGGUAAGCAGAACUGGCGCUGUGGGAUGAACCAAACGUCGAGUUAAAGCGCCCAAAUCGACGCUUAUGGGACACCAUGAAAGGCGUUGGUAACUUAAGACAGCAGGACGGUGGCCAUGGAAGUCGGAAUCCGCCAAGGAGUGUGUAACAACUCACCUGCCGAAGUUACUAGCCCUGAAAAUGAAUGGCGCUGAAGCGUCGUGCUUAUACUCGACCGUCAGAGGCAUGUGCGGUCGCGCUUUGCGAGGCCAUGAAGCCCUGACGAGUAGGAGGGUCGCGAUGGUGAGCGCAGAAGGAUUGGUCGUGAGACCGUCUGGAGCCGCCGUCGGUGCAGAUCUUGGUGGUAGUAGCAAAUACUCCAGCGAGGCCCUGGAGGACUGACGUGGAGAAGGGUUUCGUGUGAACAGCCGUUGCACACGAGUCAGUCGAUCCUAAGCCCUAGGCGAAAGCCGAUGUAAAUGAGGUGUCAUGAAUGUUUAAAUGUUUAUUCACACCCAUUGGGCGAAAGGGAAUCCGGUUCCUAUUCCGGAACCCGGCAGCGGAACCGUCUUAAAUUCGGGCCCUUGCAAAAGAGUUCGUCGGGGCAACCCAAACGGACCCGGAGACGCCGUCGGGAGAUCUGGGAAGAGUUUUCUUUUCUGUAUGAGCGUUCGAGUUCCAUGGAAUCCUCUAGCAGGGAGAUAUGGUUUGGAACGCGAAGAGCACCGCAGUUGCGGCAGUGUCCGGAUCUUCCCCUCGGACCUUGAAAAUCCGGGAGAGGGCUACGUGGAGACGUCGCGCCGGCUCGUACCCAUAUCCGCAGCAGGUCUCCAAGGU
This 2183-nucleotide ribosomal RNA is filed under the name Priamima sp. CO962. Its description in RNAcentral is "eukaryotic LSU rRNA". It matches the Rfam family "Eukaryotic large subunit ribosomal RNA", at positions 44 to 1874 of the family's 3401-position model. Lineage: Eukaryota; Metazoa; Arthropoda; Insecta; Coleoptera; Corylophidae. The record is from RNAcentral.